CCGUCGAGGAUUAGGAUCGAGUUUCUUCGAUCGUGAGGGCAAUUAUUAGUGGCCUCUAGCCCCCCAGAUGGCAUCUUGAGGAGAGAGAAUCCACGCUACGAGAACUAACAUAGUGGACAUCGCAGUUGUCCGUAGCCGAUUUGCGGGUUACGGAGUUGUUGCAAGUAAAGAAGGGGAAAUCCGAGCGUUCUCGCGUUGGAUUUCCUCCACGUGUGAAGUGGGAAUGGUAGUGAUAUCUCGUGCUAUCUCUGUCAAGGGCAAGAAGGAGAAGGAAUUUAUUUGAGGCCCUACGACGUGGUGCGGUGGCUCACGCCUGUAAUCCCAACACUUUGGGAGGCCGAGGCAGGCGGAUCAUCUGAGAUCGAGAGUUCGAGACCAGCUUGACCAACAUGGAGAAACCCCGUCUCUACUAAAAGUACAAAAUUAGCCAGGCAUGGUGGCACAUGCCCGUAAUCCCAGCUACUCGGGAGGCUGAGGCAGGAGAGUAGCUUGAGCCCAGGAGGCGGAGGUUGUGGUGAGCCGAGAUCGCGCCAUUGCACAGCCUGGGCAACGAGCGAAACUCCAUCUCAAAAAAAUAAAUAAAAAUUUUUUUAAAAAAG
RNAcentral lists this long non-coding RNA (599 nucleotides) under Homo sapiens (human). Its description in RNAcentral is "EMSY divergent transcript". Lineage: Eukaryota; Metazoa; Chordata; Mammalia; Primates; Hominidae. The record is from RNAcentral.